RNAcentral lists this ribosomal RNA (253 nucleotides) under uncultured bacterium. Its description in RNAcentral is "partial 16S ribosomal RNA". It matches the Rfam family "Bacterial small subunit ribosomal RNA", at positions 524 to 776 of the family's 1533-position model. The record is from RNAcentral.
UACGUAGGUGGCAAGCGUUAUCCGGAAUUAUUGGGCGUAAAGCGCGCGCAGGUGGUUCCUUAAGUCUGAUGUGAAAGCCCCCGGCUCAACCGGGGAGGGUCAUUGGAAACUGGGGAACUUGAGUGUAGAAGAGGAAAGUGGAAUUCCACGUGUAGCGGUGAAAUGCGUAGAGAUGUGGAGGAACACCAGUGGCGAAGGCGACUUUCUGGUCUAUAACUGACACUGAGGCGCGAAAGCGUGGGGAGCAGACAGG